Molecule: non-coding RNA, 641 nt
Organism: Drosophila melanogaster (fruit fly)
Lineage: Eukaryota; Metazoa; Arthropoda; Insecta; Diptera; Drosophilidae
Source: Ensembl
UAGCUCACACAUUCUGCUGAAUAUGCCCAUGGGUAUCAUCGGGCAUAUGGUAAUCGUUAGAUGCAUAUUCAAGACCCUGAUCCGACACGCCUGCACAUACAUAUGUCAGGCGAACAGAGGAGGAAACAUAUAUCACCGGAGCGUUGGUAAUGCCCAAUUUAAAUAGAGAAGAGCAAACAGACAUUUGAUUGCGUAGAAGAGGAGCAUUAGGCGGCGGCAGUCCCCCCCCCCCCCUCCUCCUGCUGCCAUUUCCCAUCUAUAGAAAUGGAAGAAAAAAAGAAUGAGAGUCGAGUGGAACACACACCCCACGUGAAAUCAAAACCCACUUGCAGUUGCCAGUUGCCAGCUGCCAGCUGCUGUGUCUUCAGCUUCUGCUGAUGACGCUGAUGGAGGAACUUUGCUGCAGCGUUUGAGUUCCGAGUUGCACGUUGGUGUUGCGAGUGGGCGGGGCAGAGGGGCGUUUCGGAGUCACACGUAUAGAAAGAUAUGGGGGGAAUCCGCCUGAUGAGGCGGAAGUGAAAGCGACCAAGCAGAAUUAAACCGCUUCCUCCCUUUUAUCCCAAUCUCCCAGCUUGAGCUUUUGUUUGCCAGACAAGCAACCAUCAUACGUGGAUACUCUUGUAACUCUUUGUAAUGAGUUU